AUGAGCACCAACCCAGAGCGCGUCCGGGAGAUGGCCGCAUAUGCUGAAAGAUUAGGCGUGCCCCGGGGUUCUGGGAUGUAUAGAACUGCGCUACAUGCCGUCGCAUUCCUCAGCGAGGAGAAGAUCACCAACAAAGUGGACUACCUGAAGAAGAUGUUCAGCUGGUCUGAUGCUGAGGUUGUCAUGGCUUUGUCUAAAGCUCCAAUGCUGCUGAAGAGGUCAAAGGACAUCCUGCGGCGCAGGUUCGAGUUCCUUGUCUCUGAGGUGGGUUUGGAACCGGCCUACAUUGCUCAUCGGCCGGUAAUGCUCUAUUAUAGCCUGGAGGAUCGGCUCAUGCCCCGGUGCUAUGUUCUAAAGUUCCUCAAGGAAAAUGGAUUGGUAGAUCACGACCUGAGCUUCUCUAGUGCACUCUCAAUUCAGGAAAAGUAUUUCAUGGAGAAGUACAUACGCCCUCACAACGAAGCUGCGCCACACCUCGCCGAUGACUAUGCAGCCGCUUGUAAAGGGGAGGUGCCAGCUAGUUUCAGAUUUACUUGA
This 537-nucleotide ribosomal RNA is filed under the name Triticum aestivum (bread wheat). Its description in RNAcentral is "partial small subunit ribosomal RNA". Lineage: Eukaryota; Viridiplantae; Streptophyta; Magnoliopsida; Poales; Poaceae. The record is from RNAcentral.